UCCUUCAUGGUGUAGUGGUUAUCUCCUUGAUUAAAAACUCCUCCUGGUGAAAAAUUCGAAGGUCUUGUGUUCAAAUCUCUUUGGUGGAA
Molecule: non-coding RNA, 89 nt
Organism: Mycena olivaceomarginata
Lineage: Eukaryota; Fungi; Basidiomycota; Agaricomycetes; Agaricales; Mycenaceae
Source: the annotation of a GenBank genome assembly